AGAGCGAACGCUGGCGGCAGGCUUAACACAUGCAAGUCGAGCGGGCGUAGCAAUACGUCAGCGGCAGACGGGUGAGUAACGCGUGGGAACAUACCUUUGGUUCGGAACAACACAGGGAAACUUGUGCUAAUACCGGAUAAGCCCUUACGGGGAAAGAUUUAUCGCCGAAAGAUUGGCCCGCGUCUGAUUAGCUAGUUGGUGAGGUAACGGCUCACCAAGGCGACGAUCAGUAGCUGGUCUGAGAGGAUGAUCAGCCACAUUGGGACUGAGACACGGCCCAAACUCCUACGGGAGGCAGCAGUGGGAAUAUUGGACAAUGGGCGCAAGCCUGAUCCAGCCAUGCCGCGUGAGUGAUGAAGGCCCUAGGUUGUAAAGCUCUUUGUGCGGGAAGAUAAUGACGGUACCGCAACGAAUAAGCCCCGGCUAACUUCGUAGCCAGCAGCCGC
RNAcentral lists this ribosomal RNA (446 nucleotides) under uncultured bacterium. Its description in RNAcentral is "SSU rRNA". It matches the Rfam family "Bacterial small subunit ribosomal RNA", at positions 26 to 518 of the family's 1533-position model. The record is from RNAcentral.